GGGAGGCUGGCAGUGGACGCGCCGCUCGCCAACCGGGUCAGGUCCGGAAGGAAGCAGCCCCAACGAGUUUGGCACGGGUCGCCGUCCAGUCUCCCACU
RNAcentral lists this signal recognition particle RNA (98 nucleotides) under Rhodobiaceae bacterium. RNAcentral describes it as "signal recognition particle sRNA small type". It matches the Rfam family "Bacterial small signal recognition particle RNA". Rfam says of the family: The signal recognition particle (SRP) is a universally conserved ribonucleoprotein involved in the co-translational targeting of proteins to membranes. Archaeal SRP consists of a 7S RNA and homologues of the eukaryotic SRP19 and SRP54 proteins. Lineage: Bacteria; Pseudomonadati; Pseudomonadota; Alphaproteobacteria; Hyphomicrobiales; Rhodobiaceae. The record is from RNAcentral.